RNAcentral lists this ribosomal RNA (492 nucleotides) under uncultured bacterium. Its description in RNAcentral is "partial 16S ribosomal RNA". It matches the Rfam family "Bacterial small subunit ribosomal RNA", at positions 29 to 507 of the family's 1533-position model. The record is from RNAcentral.
AGUGAACGCUGGCGGUAGGCCUAACACAUGCAAGUCGAACGGCAGCACAGUAAGAGCUUGCUCUUACGGGUGGCGAGUGGCGGACGGGUGAGGAAUACAUCGAAAUCUACUUUUUCGUGGAGGAUAACGUAGGGAAACUUACGCUAAUACCGCAUACGACCUACGGGUGAAAGCAGGGGAUCUUCGGACCUUGCGCGAUUGAAUGAGCCGAUGUCGGAUUAGCUAGUUGGCGGGGUAAAGGCCCACCAAGGCGACGAUCCGUAGCUGGUCUGAGAGGAUGAUCAGCCACACUGGAACUGAGACACGGUCCAGACUCCUACGGGAGGCAGCAGUGGGGAAUAUUGGACAAUGGGCGCAAGCCUGAUCCAGCCAUACCGCGUGGGUGAAGAAGGCCUUCGGGUUGUAAAGCCCUUUUGUUGGGAAAGAAAGGCAGCAGGUUAAUACCCCGCUGUUCUGACGGUACCCAAAGAAUAAGCACCGGCUAACUUCGUG